GCUUGUCUCAAGACUAAGCCAUGCAUGUCUAAGUAUAAGCGACGUUAUACGGUGAAACUGCGAAUGGCUCAUUAAAUCAGUUAUAGUUUAUUUGAUGGUCUCUCACCACUUGGAUAACCGUGGUAAUUCUAGAGCUAAUACAUGCGUGGAGUCCCGACUUUUGUGGAAGGGAUGUAUUUAUUAGAUUCAAAACCAAUGCGGGGCCUCGGUCCCGGUGCUUUGGUGAUUCAUAGUAACUGUUCGGAGCGCAGGGCCCUCGCGCCGGCGCCGGAUCAUUCAAGUUUCUGCCCUAUCAACUGUCGAUGGUAAGGUAUUGGCUUACCAUGGUUGCAACGGGUGACGGAGAAUUAGGGUUCGAUUCCGGAGAGGGAGCCUGAGAAACGGCCACCACAUCCAAGGAAGGCAGCAGGCGCGCAAAUUACCCAAUCCCGACACGGGGAGGUAGUGACAAUAAAUAACAAUACAGGGCUUUCGUAAGUCUUGUAAUUGGAAUGAGAACAAUUUAAAUCCCUUAACGAGGAACAAUUGGAGGGCAAGUCUGGUGCCAGCAGCCGCGGUAAUUCCAGCUCCAAUAGCGUAUAUUAAAGUUGUUGCAGUUAAAAAGCUCGUAGUUGGAUUUCGGCGGCGUCGCGUCGGUCCGCCUCGCGGCGUGUCACUGGCGCGGCGCGGCUUUCUCUCGAGGGCCGCGCGUGCUCUUGAUUGAGCGUGCGCGGGACUCGGGACGUUUACUUUGAAAAAAUUAGAGUGUUCAAAGCAGGCGGUGGGCUUGAAUACAUUAGCAUGGAAUAAUGGAAUAGGACGUCGGUCCUGUUUUGUUGGUUUCCGGGACCGAGGUAAUGAUUAAUAGGGACAGUUGGGGGCAUUCGUAUUCAAUUGUCAGAGGUGAAAUUCUUGGAUUUAUGGAAGACGCACGCAUGCGAAAGCAUUUGCCAAGGAUGUUUUCGUUAAUCAAGAACGAAAGUUGGA
RNAcentral lists this ribosomal RNA (966 nucleotides) under Plakortis sp. CU215. Its description in RNAcentral is "SSU rRNA". It matches the Rfam family "Eukaryotic small subunit ribosomal RNA", at positions 30 to 994 of the family's 1831-position model. The record is from RNAcentral. Lineage: Eukaryota; Metazoa; Porifera; Homoscleromorpha; Homosclerophorida; Plakinidae.